UCUCAAUCAUCGCACAAUUACAAUUUCCAAUACAGUUACCAUGUGUGUCUGUGCAAUUGUUCAUCCUAUAAUAACCAAUCAUAUAAGCCAACCAGGCUACAAUUAUAUAAGUCGAUAAUGUUUCAAAAAUUUUCAAUCUCUUUAAUAACAAGUUAGGGCAAGCCAUUGCUUACCUAAGAAGCGAAAUUUUGACGAUAAUUGUGGAAUUACACUGUUGAGAAUGAUCUCGUCACAACUCA
This 239-nucleotide long non-coding RNA is filed under the name Olea europaea (common olive). Its description in RNAcentral is "long non-coding RNA (OEUR_LNC012515)". The record is from RNAcentral. Lineage: Eukaryota; Viridiplantae; Streptophyta; Magnoliopsida; Lamiales; Oleaceae.